UCAGAUUCCAGGUCAGAAACUCAGUCUUCCAGCGUCUGACACGUAUCUUAUUAAUGAAACGCAACGUUCUGUUUUCUUUUUGGUUUCGUACUGGCUUUAUUUUGGUUCGGUGUUGUGAUAUGUUUUGAGGCCCAGUGACCACAAACCCUAAUCCGUGUGGUUGAUUGUGUUCUUCGUUUCUCUUUGAUCCGCGGAGACGGUGACGAUCUGUUUUAUGUAACGGAAAGAUCUUCAAUCGCGUUGUUCCAUCAGCGACAUCUUUAUAAAUAGGUCCGGGACGUGCUCAUCCGAGGCGAGACUGUUCCGAUUCUGAGAGACUAUGAAUGUAAAACUUGGUGGGGAGCUUAUGUGGAUGGAUUUUAUCAUGGUGGAUGUUAACGUGAACUCUAACCUGUUUAUGAAUUCUGAUAGUGUUUCCGGGUUCUUUGCAGGAUUUGUUAUCCACCGUACGAGUAGUUGUGUUGCUGAAGUCAACCUGAUGUUCUGUUUCGUCCCUGUUUUGUCUUCUCUUUGGGUAUCUUCUGAUAUCUUUAGACAUCAGUUGUCUACCAUUUAUAAACCCAGCUUUAUAAAAAAGAAGAAAUCAACCUGAUGAAUCCUUUGUUAAGUUUUUGCUUGCGUUGUGUGAGAUUCUUCAAACGCUUUCAUUUACAGAUUCAUCACAUUUAACCUCUUCUUAACUCCAACAACAUGAUCUAGCCAUCAAUGUGAGCUUCUUUCUUGCGAGGCGGUUUACCUUUGAUUAUAAAAUGUCCGUUAGAUGUUCUCCACUGUUGAGGUUAGGUUUUUGCGAUCCUGGGAGGCAAGGAUUGGCAGGUGCAGUGUUGAUGGAGUUAAGAAGAGGCCAAUCACCAAAAAGUUCGAGAGAAGCCACUUCUAUCUGUUUUAGUAUUUUUCCAUGCAGCCCGGAACAUUGUGCUUCUUGCUGUUCCAGCCCUGUUUUUCACGGUGCUGUUGCUGUAGCCAGUGUGGCUGCAUCUGUGUGUUGCUGCAAUCGCAGCCUUCACCACCACGUCUUCAAUCUCUAGAAGGGAUGAGUAGAUGGCUAAAACUGACAUGGUCGUUCCUUCCGCUUCGACCCUUGCGGAUGCUCAGUGUAUGGAGGCUGUGGAAGUGAUUAGAGAUGAGAGAGGGAAUUUGGCCUCUGUUGUCAGCGACAGUGUAGCCAUCAAUGUACUUCUACCGGAGAUAUCUGACACUCACUGCCAGUGAAGCCACAAGUUUAGUAGCUUCAAAAAUCUGUAUUUUGGUUAUCUUAGGUAUUUGAAAGAUUGAUUCUGAUGAAGAAACUCAAUUAUUUUGAUAAUCUCCAUUAUCGUCCGAAACGUAAAAAGUUCA
This is an RNA transcript of Raphanus sativus (radish), 1338 nucleotides long. RefSeq lists it as uncharacterized. The record is from RefSeq and is a predicted model, not a curated record. The transcript has 8 exons. Lineage: Eukaryota; Viridiplantae; Streptophyta; Magnoliopsida; Brassicales; Brassicaceae.